Molecule: unclassified non-coding RNA, 305 nt
Filed under: plant metagenome
Description: partial contains 5.8S ribosomal RNA, internal transcribed spacer 2, and large subunit ribosomal RNA
Rfam family: 5.8S ribosomal RNA (bases 1-105)
Source: RNAcentral
GAAAUGCGAUAAGUAGUGUGAAUUGCAGAAUUCAGUGAAUCAUCGAAUCUUUGAACGCACAUUGCGCCCUUUGGUAUUCCAAAGGGCAUGCCUGUUCGAGCGUCAUUUCAACCAUCAAGCCCCCGGCUUGUGUUGGGGACCUGCGACUGCCCGCAGGCCCUGAAAAACAGUGGCGGGCUCGCUGUCACACCGAGCGUAGUAGCAUACAUUCUCGCUCAGGGCGUGCUGCGGGUUCCGGCCGUUAAACGACCUUCAUAACCCAAGGUUGACCUCGGAUCAGGUAGGAAGACCCGCUGAACUUAAGC